GGCCCUGUGGCCUAAUGGAUAAGGCAUCAGCCUCUGAAGCUGGGGAUUGUGGGUUUGAAUCCUGCCAGGGUUGCA
Molecule: transfer RNA, 75 nt
Filed under: Merluccius polli (Benguela hake)
Lineage: Eukaryota; Metazoa; Chordata; Actinopteri; Gadiformes; Merlucciidae
Description: tRNA-Gln
Rfam family: tRNA
About the family: Transfer RNA (tRNA) molecules are approximately 80 nucleotides in length. Their secondary structure includes four short double-helical elements and three loops (D, anti-codon, and T loops).
Source: RNAcentral